Molecule: small nuclear RNA, 79 nt
Filed under: Homo sapiens (human)
Lineage: Eukaryota; Metazoa; Chordata; Mammalia; Primates; Hominidae
Description: partial ncRNA
Source: RNAcentral
AGAGAAUCGCUUGAACCCAGGAGGUGGAGGUUGCAGUAAGCUGAGAUUGCACCACUGCACUCCAGUCUGGGUGACAGAG